This is a long non-coding RNA of Frankliniella occidentalis (western flower thrips), 995 nucleotides long. RefSeq lists it as uncharacterized. NCBI's taxonomy places the organism in Eukaryota, Metazoa, Arthropoda, Insecta, Thysanoptera, Thripidae. The transcript has 2 exons. The record is from RefSeq and is a predicted model, not a curated record.
UCGUUCAACACCACCUGUUGCAUUUUGAGCCACGUCUGAGUAACAGCCCAACAAUGAGCACCUUGCUCUCGGUAGUCCGCUCCACGCGCGCGUGCCGCCCUCGUGAAAAAUAGUGUGAAAUUAUGUGUGGAUUUUCACGCUAGGCGUGAUUUUCACACUUCGUAAGCUUUCCGCAGCCAAUCAGGGAUCGAAUUUCAUCACGCAGGGAGUGAAAAUCAGGCCUGGUGUAAGAAUCAUGCGGAAAACUACGUGUCUUUAGGUUACGCGCCGCCCACGCGAAAAAUUGUGUGCAGUUAUAAAUUAAGAGGUUCAUUAUGCAAAAAGACACCAUGCAAAAAGACACAUCAACUAAAUUACUCAAAAAAACAGUAAUUUACUGAAAUUUACCUAGGUUUUUUACUUUGAGCCAAAAUUACCGGUAAUUCUCGAACCCUAGGUAUGAGAAACUCUCAGAUCAGUUUCGAGCUCCCCUCCAUAAUUAAGAGCCUAGGAUCGGACCAAACUACCAUGGUAGCUUAUCAUACUGGGCGGAUGAAAGCAGAUAAAUGAAUGAAUUUGUUCUUUUUCACUGCCAUUUUAGAUAGCCUGAAACACCCUAUUCUGAGCCGAAUACUUAUCACAUCUUAAUCAAAUGUGUCUGCUGUUCCUUAGGCGAUCCCCCUGGCUGCACCGGCGAAACCUACUAACACUUUAGCGCUGCGAGCUGACCCAUCCAAAUGCGUCAAGGAGAUCGUUGAGACGCUUUACUCGGAUGUGCCCGGGUGGGUAUUGAUCUGCCUGAAAGUGGCGCAGGAUAACCCGUCGCUGUCGUUCUUCAUCGAGUUCCCCAUCUGCGCCAGCCUCGUUGGAGGCGCAGACUUUGUGCGAGUGGCUCUGGAUGUUGCGAAGAGGUGUCACUGAAAACUGACCGCCUAAACUCCAUAGGUGCAUCUGCCCAUCUUCGCUUCUCUCGCGUUGUCUUUCUAUUAACUGCAAAAUAUACUUUUACACCAUUA